GCGACCGUGGUGGAAUUGGUAGACACGCUAUCUUGAGGGGGUAGUGCAGUUACUGUGUGCGAGUUCGAGUCUCGCCGGUCGCACCA
RNAcentral lists this transfer RNA (86 nucleotides) under Campylobacter iguaniorum. RNAcentral describes it as "tRNA-Leu (GAG) (tRNA-Leu-GAG-1-1)". It matches the Rfam family "tRNA". From Rfam's summary of the family: Transfer RNA (tRNA) molecules are approximately 80 nucleotides in length. The record is from RNAcentral. Lineage: Bacteria; Pseudomonadati; Campylobacterota; Epsilonproteobacteria; Campylobacterales; Campylobacteraceae.